Molecule: ribosomal RNA, 188 nt
Filed under: uncultured bacterium
Lineage: Bacteria
Description: partial 16S ribosomal RNA
Rfam family: Bacterial small subunit ribosomal RNA
Source: RNAcentral
CUGCAACCCGACUCCGUGAAGCUGGAUUCGCUAGUAAUCGCGCAUCAGCCAUGGCGCGGUGAAUACGUUCCCGGGCCUUGUACACACCGCCCGUCAAGCCAUGGAAGCCGGGAGUGCCUGAAGUAUGCAACCGCAAGGAGCGUCCUAAGGUAAAACCGGUGACUGGGGCUAAGUCGUAACAAGGUAGC